GACGAACGCUGGCGGCGUGCUUAACACAUGCAAGUCGAGCGGUAAGGCCCUUUCGGGGGUACACGAGCGGCGAACGGGUGAGUAACACGUGGGUGACCUGCCCUUAGCUCUGGGAUAAGCCUGGGAAACUGGGUCUAAUACCGGAUAUGACUCCAUGACGCAUGUUGUGGGGUGGAAAGCCUUGUGCGGCUAGGGAUGGGCCCGCGGCCUAUCAGCUUGUUGGUGGGGUGANGGCCUACCAAGGCGACGACGGGUAGCCGGCCUGAGAGGGCGACCGGCCACACUGGGACUGAGACACGGCCCAGACUCCUACGGGAGGCAGCAGUGGGGAAUCUUGCGCAAUGGGCGAAAGCCUGACGCAGCGACGCCGCGUGGGGA
RNAcentral lists this ribosomal RNA (378 nucleotides) under uncultured bacterium. RNAcentral describes it as "bacterial SSU rRNA". It matches the Rfam family "Bacterial small subunit ribosomal RNA", at positions 28 to 407 of the family's 1533-position model. The record is from RNAcentral.